Molecule: RNA transcript, 6869 nt
Organism: Triticum aestivum (bread wheat)
Lineage: Eukaryota; Viridiplantae; Streptophyta; Magnoliopsida; Poales; Poaceae
Gene name: ribonuclease 3-like protein 2
Exons: 10
Source: RefSeq, a predicted model, not a curated record
AAAAAAAAAACAGCCCAGUCCCGCUCGCAACCCUCGAUCCCCUUUCCUCCCCCUCGCUGACGCGAAACCCUCGCUAGGUUUCCUCCAGGCCGCCGCCGGUCCCUUGUGCGCAGCUCCUUCCGGCGACAUGGCGGGCGGGUAGGGUCCCUCCUCCUCCGCUGCUCCUCCCGUUGGCGUGACCCGCCCCGCCCCCGCCCCGGUCUCCAGCAGCAGCAACAGGCCCGCCCGGCACUCUACUCCGGCGGACGCCGCCAAACUCCGGCUGGCGCCUCCUCUCCAAAAUUUCAUCUCCCCCUCCCGAUCUAGCAAGACGCCGUCACGCGCACCGGCACACAAGGGAGAGAUGAUGAAGCCCGGCUCCCGCAAGCGCCGCGCCUCGCCGCCUGCGCCGUCGGCCCCCGUCACGCUGCCGCCGCCGGGCUUCGUGGCGGACAGGGAGGAGGCGGCGGCCCGCGUGGAGCGGCUUCUCCAGUACCAGUUCAACAACCGCUCCCUGCUCGAGGAGGCGCUCACCCACCAGUCCUUCGCCGCCGCCUCGUACCAGAGGCUCGAGUUCGUCGGGGACGCGGCGCUUGGCCUCGCCUUCUCCAACUUCCUCUACCUCACCAACCCCACCGUCGGCCCCGGCGCGCUCUCCACGCUCCGGGCUGCCAACAUCUCCACCGAGAAGCUGGCGCGCGUCGCCGUGCGCCACGACCUCUACCCGCUGCUCCGACGCAACUGCCCUCGCCUCGAUCUGUUGGUAGGACAGUUUAUCCAGUCAGUGAAACAAGAGUUAGAGGAUGACCUUGGCACUACGCCCUAUGGUGGCAGUGUAUUUAAGGCUCCCAAGGUGCUUGCUGAUAUGGUUGAGGCCAUUGCUGCUGCUGUCUAUGUGGAUUGCAACUUUAAUCUUGAGAAGCUCUGGAAGGUAACAAGGUUCCUCUUUGAGCCCAUUGUCACGGCAGAAACAAUAGAUGAGCAACCUGUGUCUAUGUUGCAUGAACUGUGCCAGAAACAUGGGAAAGAUGUAAAAUUCAAGACUUGGCAGAAGGGUGGAACAACGGUUGUAAAUGUAUUUGUUGGUGGGGCACUUGUUGGGAUGGGGUCCUCAGAGCAGAUGGUAAUCGCUAAGCUCAAUGCCACACGGGAUGCAUUAAGCAAGCUUCUUGGUGGAGGCAAUCAGCAAGUCUUGACAACUGGAGUUGGCCAUGGAUUGGGGGUUGAGGUUGGAGAGCUUAGGGAAUGCAAGCAGAAGCUUAUUGAGCAGUGCAGCAGGAAGCAUUGGCCAAAACCCAUCUUUAAGUUAGAGAAGGAAGAUGGCCCGGCACAUGAUAGGACAUUUGUUUACUCCGUUCAGGUAGAAGCCCAAGGUGGUAUUUGGGUAACUUUAAGUGAUAAGAUGUCAAGGGUAAAGGAUGCGGAGAAUUCUUGCGCGCAGAAGAUGUUGGAACAUCUAUUGAAAUUGGAUCCAUGCACUUGAAUCCUGACGCUACAUCCUGGUGGCGACUACUAGGAAGGAGAUCCUAGAAGCCCACAUCGUGGUGGUGACUCUUAGCAUGUAGGUGGGAGAUGAGCUCAAGAGAAUAUAAGGAAACCGUGGUGAAGGGAGAGCCAAAGAGGUGAAUGAGGAUGAAGAAGGUGCACCAGGAUUUUCUGAUGCGGGUUCAUCCUUCCAUGCCGAUGAAACCAUAUAGUUUGAAAAAGCGCUACUAUGAGAUUUUCAUCGAAAAAAAGCAGUGGGACAGAAGUUAGCCUUCCUAUUUAUCUAUGCACUCCGAUGGUCGAGAUGCAGUUGUAUACUCGCCAGAUUAUUUUUAUCCAAACAGAUACUUUUUUAAAGCCAUGCAUAUCGGUGUAGAAUUCAAUGUUAGACUGAAAAUUUGUUUAUAAGCUUGAAAUAGCAUGUCCAUCUCGAUAGUAAUGACACUGGCUUCUUUUACAUAAAUAUCACGUGGAAAAUUGUAAGCAUGAGAAAUAAAUUUCCACGUACAUAAAAUAAAAUCAGAAAGUAACCAUGAAUAAAUAAGUUGAAUUAACAAACUAUACAUAUCCUAUGAUUAGGAGAUGGUAUAAUAUUUGCCCACAACCAUGGGAUUGAUAGUUAUAAAUUUUAAAUAUAUUUUUUGGAGAGCUUAGAUCAAAAGAACCUCAUCCUAACUCAUGUUUUUUUUAUAUUGUUAUAGAUUUGCUUAUCUCGUCUGUUCAAGAAAUUCUCUGGUUUGUGGUUGUUGAACUGUGCUUUUUCAACAGUUGCUUUAUAAACACUCUAGGAAAAUGUUAGAAGACGGGAUUUUCUUCUGUUAACAAACAGCAAAAUUGGCAACCCGAGUUAUCGCAGCACACUCAGGUCAUUUUCGAUUCAGUGAUUCACACAAUAACAAACGAAAUCUGGGCCUUGGUUCACGGUCAAAGAACUAUGUGUCGACUAGCUAUGUUUCUGAUAUACGGAAAUUUAGCCACAUUUUAUGACAGUAAUACUGAGCAGCUUUCCAACCAUCUAACGCCCUGCGCGUUUCUGGCCAUCCAUUUUCGCGACUUGGGCAACCUUGGCCGUUAGUCUGUUGUCUACUCCGGCUUUCACCGUACAUUCUGAUUCCUGGGCCAAAAAGUCCUAGAGGGCUGCUUUUCCAGAGGAAAAUUUGAAGCCCUAUGGUAAACUAGGCGGAGGGGGGGGGGGGGGGGGGAGUGAGCUGAUGUGGACGGUCGCUGCUAGAGAGAGGAGGCGAUGGAUUGAUCGGCCCCACAGUUUAGGGCAAUGAGAGCCUGUGCGGGAGAUGUAGGCCGACACUAUGGCUGUUUGGUUGAGCACAACUGCUCCGUUGGGAUUUGAAGAACCAAUCAUUCUUCGGUUUCUCUGCAUUCAUGGCAGGUGAUGUGCCCAUCCUUCCGCUGCCUCGGUACAGGUGAUGCUCAUACUGGUUGUGGUCAAUUUAUUUGGGCAUCUUGGAGGCUUGUACUCCCAUUUUCUUACUUCCGAAAUUCUUCAACUGAUAAUUUCCGAUGGCCUCUGACAGAAUAGUGGCGGGGGAGCAGGCUCUGGAAGCUUGUGUAUUUGGUUGGGGUUAAAAUUUUGAGCACCCGAGAGGUUGAGAAGCUGCUACUAACGUGCUAAUUAGCUCAUGCUGUGUGCUGAUUAACCUGGUGCCUUUUAGAUGUUAAGCUUUUGCUGUGACCCAAGCUUAUCUUUGAGCUUUCUCCUUUUGCACGACUUUAAAAUCUUGGUGGAGGCUACUUCUAUUGAUAAAUUAGUGGGAAUACAGGUUUAUCUGGUGUUCCAAAAAUGUCCUCAAUGCGUAAAUUUAAUUUUUGAGUGAAUGAUUGCUAUAUCGACACACAUACAUAACUUUUACUUAUGAUGACUUCCCUUCUGUCCAUGCUUACCCUUUAUACAAAUACAAUUAUGUUAACGGCUUCGGUAUCCCCAUACAUACUGUUGUCUUCUGUCCAUAAUAUUAUUUUCUCACGAUUUUAUUUCAUUGUUGAUAUGAUCCCUAGCAUUUUAUAUGGCGAUCCUCAAUGAAUUUUCUUGAGGAUAUUUUUUAACCGAGCUCAUUUUUUUCUUUCUGAUUUGAUGUCUUGUCCUUCGAUUCUUCUCCCUUCAUGAUCAGGUCUAUUUGGAAAGCCUGCUCACUGAUGUAUUGCUUGAAGGCAAAGAAAUCUUUAAGAAUGUAAUUCAUGUAUAUAUUUGCACUAACCUCUCGAACUAUGGAAUGUAAUAAUAAAUGUUUCUGAAAUUUUGCAGAAAUAGUGAUUUUUCACUGAGAUGGUAAAAACAAAAUGCACAAGUGAUAGAGCAUAAAUGAGCUUCGGGUAAACCUGUCUGGUCUGGCACGUCAAGGUCAUACUUGUACACCAGCUUCCCACCAUCGUUGUUAUCGCCAACAAUAUGAAGUGGUGCAGGGCCCACCAGAGAACGUGGAAUUGAAACGACGUCGUGAGUUCGGGUCAGAGCCGUGGCUCGAAUCGUCAUUGACGUCCUGAUCCGUGGAUCAGUUGUGAUGCUUUCCGGUAGCGACGGCAGUGGGAUAGAGUAAAUGCAGCCAUGGGUCGAUGGGAGCAGCUGUCUUCUACCUGGCGGCUCCUGUUCUUGUUCUGUCGAGAGCAGCGAGCCGGUGGAACCACCAUCUCUUUAGGGUUAGGGCCUCUCUGCUCCGGUGAACAUGGAGUUUUUUGAUGCAGCCGAUCAACAGCAGAACUCUGCUAGAGGAGGUGAACGACAGCGACAUACCCAUGGAGCCUCUGCACUAUCCUGUUAGGCCGCUGCCGGACGGGGAGGUGCCAGCGGCGACCGCCUCUAGUGCGGACGAAUCUGUGCUGCGGAGGCAGGGACCUCAAGAUCUAACCUGUAUUCGGGCGUUCUGUUCAUGCAGCAGAACUCUGCUAGAGGAGGUGAACGACAGCGACAUACCCAUGGAGCCUCUGCACUAUCCUGUUAGGCCGCUGCCGGACGGGGAGGUGCCAGCGGCGACCGCCUCUAGUGCGGACGAAUCUGUGCUGCGGAGGCAGGGACGGCAGAUAAAGCUCAAGCAUCUGAACACUACAUAGAGCAGAUUGACCGCAAGACUCCUGGGUGGAUGCCAAGGUAUGCAUUUUUGACUGCCACAUCUUUAGCUGGAAAUGAAAUUCUGCUCUGCUACCUGUUAUGAUUAGAUGACAUCUGAAUCUGGGGUUGAAAUUAGUACGUAGGUAUAUUUUCUUGUGGUAAUGAGAGUAGUUUCUCAUGCUUGAAGUGUGUCGCAUGAAAAGCUUUAUUACAAAAUUGAGUUCUGUGCAAUAAUUCUGGAAAUGUGGGAAGGUUAAUGGGAUUGUAACGUUUAUGGUAGAAUCCAGUUUGGUAAUUUUUGUCCCCUAUAUGGUAAUACAUCAUCUGUUAAUCGAUGGAUUUAUGUGAAAUUACCCAGUCAUCAAGUAUUUUGGGGUGUUUGCUGAAGUUGGAAGACUCUGUUUUCUGUAGUAAAUACUGUUAUGUUCAUUCAGGAUCAGGAUUGGUGCUGCUGCACUAGGCCGUGCCCUAAUAGAAUGCAUGUCAGCAAUGGAGAAAUCAGUCCGCGGGUUUGCUGAGGAUCCUGGUGAUCCCCGUGACUUUGAUUUUGAUUGGCGACAUCUGUUGGUUGGUUAUCUAUUUUCUCAGUGCAAUCUGGGUGCUUGCAGCGGGGCAUAGCAUACAUCUGCAUCAGAUCGGAACUGUCGUUUGCAAACUUAAAAGGUUAGAAGUUAGAACACCCAGAUUAAAUGGAUCAUCGAAUACGGCACAUCUGACGUGAAAACUAAAAAUUACCGUGCAAUUCGACUAUGACGUGACGCUCGUCCCAAUGUCAGUUGCCAUAGUUAUCAUCCUUCUGAUGCUUGUCUGAUCGAAGACGCUUAUCCGAGGAAGGACAUCAUGCUGCUUGUUGAACAUCCCAAGUCAAUGUUGUCAAGAAAGAAUAUGUGAAAAGUGAAAACAUAAAUAAAUCUAUCGUCAAUAAAAGCCACAACCCCUGACGAGAUACAUAACAUGUUAAAGAAACUGACCUGCAAGAACAAAUGACAACCAACUAAAUUAUUUUUGGGUUGUUUGCCAACAUGUCCUUAAGCCGUUGAUCUGCCUAGAAGAGGCACUCAACCACAUACUCGCACCAAUUGAAUUGUGAGAUUGUCUCUGUGUUGGCAAGUGCACCACAGUAGUCUAUGGUAGCAUAAUCAUAUUUUGUUGUUGGCACCAAAACAUGGCCCGUUACGAAAAUGACGAAUGCAAUCUGGAAACAGUCCAUUUCUUGAAACUUUAGAAUUUUGCAUAUCACUACCAUUUUUUCAUUUGAAUAUAGAAUAUACAUUUGGUGAUUCCCCGUAGAUUCUUUGGACAGUAUAAUAUAGUAUACACAUGGUGACUUGGUAGCUUAGGCAGACUGUACUUGAUGACCCCAAAUAAUCCAAAAAGAGCAACGAGAAUGUAAAAUUUAUGCACUUACAUCGACUGAAAUUUGGCAGUCCCUAAAUUUUGACUUGAAUGCAUUUGGAAGGGGAAUAUUUGUUUUCUACCAUGGACGGGACCAAAAUAAGGCAGUAACAAAAGUAAAUAAGUGCUCUGAAAAUUGGUUUUGCUCGUAUGUAACUUCUGUUUGGUCAACUAGAUCAUCCAGUGGUAUCUUUAAGUCCCAGUCCCAGGUCUCGGGUCCUAGUUCAGUAAACCAGAAAUACAGCUUGGGUUAUUUACUUACUGCCAAUUUGAUUUGUAGGGAGUCUGCCAAUUGAUUUCCAAAACCUUGAAUCUUUGAUGUAUAGAUGGUUUGGAUGGUUAUUUUGCUUUUCUAUGAAAUAUGAUACUACUAGCUGGAAUUCAAUGCUUAUGAUUUUCAUUAUAUUAUAGAAGAGGGGAGACUAAUCCAUAUACUUGCUGUGGUCAAUUAAGUCAACAGCCUUCAGUUAAUGUGUACUCUUGCGUUGAAGCCAGUCGUUUAUCUUCUCAUUUUCUUCAUCAAAAUCAAUUCUACUCUGAAACAUAUCUGGCUAUUACUGACGCCAUGGGUGAAGGAAGUAGGACAGGAAAAAACUUGGGGAUUCAGUAUAUGUUACAUUCCAGUUUAACAUAAACGCAUGGAUGGAAGGUAAUCUCCACAGGUUUGGAGUGAUGGAGUUCUUUCAGUUGUUUGUCUUUUGCUUGGUCUGAUUCAAUGGGUAGCUAAAGCUUCUUUUUUUUGCUUGGUAUGAUUGAAUGGGUAGCUAAAGCUUCAGUUAUCGCAGUUAUCGGUCUUUUUGCUGGACUAAUUAAGUAGAUAGCUACCUUGUAUGAUGAAAAUUUCAGACUUCUUGCGGUGUGUGGCCACACUUUUGUGCUGAACAAACUUAUCAUGCAUGGAUAUCGCAUCUAUCUAUGUCUCAAUAUACUGAAACGUGAGUUUAUUAAA